AACCAAAAGAUACAGCACAAAAAUAAUUAAAAAAACUAACCUCAAGCAGACACUUUUUCUAACUUAGCAUGGGGCAACUAACAUCAAAUAAACUAGAAACAUGCCAAACUGAGCUCUGAAAGUCAUGGAUUUAUCAACACAACCUCCACGAGUAUCAACUUAUUAUAGAGACAACACCACAACUAUAAAAAUACUCCUUCAAGAGUAACUAGGAGUUUUCACCAACCAUAACUAUAUUAAGGUCUUAUGCUGAUGCAAAAAUCUGCAGUCUUCACCUAGACAUCGACCAUGCUGAUCCAGCAGCUUCUUACACUCAGGCCAAACUGUAGAUGUAAUGAAACAAGGGUAAUUUUCACUUGCAUAGAAUAUCCAGCUGCUACAUCAUGAAAACCAAGGAUCCUCGCCACAUUAAGCUUGCUGACACAGAAAUAUCAUGAUCCCCUCAAUUAGCACUGUGUCCAAUCUUUCUAGUAUCAAGCAGCACCGAACGACAUGUCGUGUGCUGUGUACUGGCGCAGGCUCUUUUACCCCAUUCUCCUGCACCAGCAAUGGGGUAGA
This 558-nucleotide unclassified non-coding RNA is filed under the name Hevea brasiliensis (rubber tree). The record is from RNAcentral. Lineage: Eukaryota; Viridiplantae; Streptophyta; Magnoliopsida; Malpighiales; Euphorbiaceae.